UACCUCAUGAAGAUCCUCACCGAGCGCGGC
This 30-nucleotide non-coding RNA is filed under the name Homo sapiens (human). Lineage: Eukaryota; Metazoa; Chordata; Mammalia; Primates; Hominidae. The record is from RNAcentral.